Molecule: ribosomal RNA, 517 nt
Filed under: uncultured Parvibaculum sp.
Lineage: Bacteria; Pseudomonadati; Pseudomonadota; Alphaproteobacteria; Hyphomicrobiales; Parvibaculaceae
Description: bacterial SSU rRNA
Rfam family: Bacterial small subunit ribosomal RNA
Source: RNAcentral
GCAUGGCUGUGGUCAGAUCGUGUCGUGAGAUGUUGGGUUAAGUCCCGCAACGAGCGCAACCCUCGCCUUUAGUUGCCAUCAUUUAGUUGGGCACUGUAGAGGGACUGCCGGUGAUAAGCCGGAGGAAGGUGGGGAUGACGUCAAGUCCUCAUGGCCCUUACGGGUUGGGCUACACACGUGCUACAAUGGCGGCGACAAUGGGCAGCGAAGGGGCGACCCGGUGCAAAUCCCAAAAAGCCGUCUCAGUUCGGAUUGUACUCUGCAACUCGAGAGCAUGAAGGUGGAAUCGNUAGUAAUCGCGUAACAGCAUGACGCGGUGAAUACGUUCCCGGGCCUUGUACACACCGCCCGUCACACCAUGGGAGUUGGUUUUACCCGAAGCUGGUGCGCUAACCGCAAGGAGGCAGCCAACCACGGUAAGGUCAGCGACUGGGGUGAAGUCGUAACAAGGUAGCCCUAGGGGAACCUGAGGCAGAUCACCUCCUGAAGCUUGGAUCCCGGGAAUCGAAUUCCCGCG